This 69-nucleotide transfer RNA is filed under the name Rattus norvegicus (Norway rat). It matches the Rfam family "tRNA". From Rfam's summary of the family: Transfer RNA (tRNA) molecules are approximately 80 nucleotides in length. Their secondary structure includes four short double-helical elements and three loops (D, anti-codon, and T loops). Further hydrogen bonds mediate the characteristic L-shaped molecular structure. tRNAs have two regions of fundamental functional importance: the anti-codon, which is responsible for specific mRNA codon recognition, and the 3' end, to which the tRNAs corresponding amino acid is attached (by aminoacyl-tRNA synthetases). tRNAs cope with the degeneracy of the genetic code in two manners: having more than one tRNA (with a specific anti-codon) for a particular amino acid; and 'wobble' base-pairing, i.e. permitting non-standard base-pairing at the 3rd anti-codon position. Lineage: Eukaryota; Metazoa; Chordata; Mammalia; Rodentia; Muridae. The record is from Rfam by way of RNAcentral.
GGGGAUUUAGCUCAGUGGUAGAGCACUUGCCUACCAAGCACAAGGCCCUGGGUUCGGUCCUCAGCUCCA